UUAAGCGACUAAGCGUACACGGUGGAUGCCCUGGCAGUCAGAGGCGAUGAAGGACGUGCUAAUCUGCGAUAAGCGUCGGUAAGGUGAUAUGAACCGUUAUAACCGGCGAUUUCCGAAUGGGGAAACCCAGUGUGUUUCGACACACUAUCAUUAACUGAAUCCAUAGGUUAAUGAGGCGAACCGGGGGAACUGAAACAUCUAAGUACCCCGAGGAAAAGAAAUCAACCGAGAUUCCCCCAGUAGCGGCGAGCGAACGGGGAGGAGCCCAGAGCCUGAAUCAGUGUGUGUGUUAGUGGAAGCGUCUGGAAAGGCGCGCGAUACAGGGUGACAGCCCCGUACACAAAAAUGCACAUACUGUGAGCUCGAUGAGUAGGGCGGGACACGUGGUAUCCUGUCUGAAUAUGGGGGGACCAUCCUCCAAGGCUAAAUACUCCUGACUGACCGAUAGUGAACCAGUACCGUGAGGGAAAGGCGAAAAGAACCCCGGCGAGGGGAGUGAAAAAGAACCUGAAACCGUGUACGUACAAGCAGUGGGAGCNNNNNNNNNNNNGUGACUGCGUACCUUUUGUAUAAUGGGUCAGCGACUUAUAUUCUGUAGCAAGGUUAACCGAAUAGGGGAGCCGAAGGGAAACCGAGUCUUAACUGGGCGUUAAGUUGCAGGGUAUAGACCCGAAACCCGGUGAUCUAGCCAUGGGCAGGUUGAAGGUUGGGUAACACUAACUGGAGGACCGAACCGACUAAUGUUGAAAAAUUAGCGGAUGACUUGUGGCUGGGGGUGAAAGGCCAAUCAAACCGGGAGAUAGCUGGUUCUCCCCGAAAGCUAUUUAGGUAGCGCCUCGUGAAUUCAUCUCCGGGGGUAGAGCACUGUUUCGGCAAGGGGGUCAUCCCGACUUACCAACCCGAUGCAAACUGCGAAUACCGGAGAAUGUUAUCACGGGAGACACACGGCGGGUGCUAACGUCCGUCGUGAAGAGGGAAACAACCCAGACCGCCAGCUAAGGUCCCAAAGUCAUGGUUAAGUGGGAAACGAUGUGGGAAGGCCCAGACAGCCAGGAUGUUGGCUUAGAAGCAGCCAUCAUUUAAAGAAAGCGUAAUAGCUCACUGGUCGAGUCGGCCUGCGCGGAAGAUGUAACGGGGCUAAACCAUGCACCGAAGCUGCGGCAGCGACGCUUAUGCGUUGUUGGGUAGGGGAGCGUUCUGUAAGCCUGUGAAGGUGUACUGUGAGGUAUGCUGGAGGUAUCAGAAGUGCGAAUGCUGACAUAAGUAACGAUAAAGCGGGUGAAAAGCCCGCUCGCCGGAAGACCAAGGGUUCCUGUCCAACGUUAAUCGGGGCAGGGUGAGUCGACCCCUAAGGCGAGGCCGAAAGGCGUAGUCGAUGGGAAACAGGUUAAUAUUCCUGUACUUGGUGUUACUGCGAAGGGGGGACGGAGAAGGCUAUGUUGGCCGGGCGACGGUUGUCCCGGUUUAAGCGUGUAGGCUGGUUUUCCAGGCAAAUCCGGAAAAUCAAGGCUGAGGCGUGAUGACGAGGCACUACGGUGCUGAAGCAACAAAUGCCCUGCUUCCAGGAAAAGCCUCUAAGCAUCAGGUAACAUCAAAUCGUACCCCAAACCGACACAGGUGGUCAGGUAGAGAAUACCAAGGCGCUUGAGAGAACUCGGGUGAAGGAACUAGGCAAAAUGGUGCCGUAACUUCGGGAGAAGGCACGCUGAUACGUAGGUGAAGUCCCUCGCGGAUGGAGCUGAAAUCAGUCGAAGAUACCAGCUGGCUGCAACUGUUUAUUAAAAACACAGCACUGUGCAAACACGAAAGUGGACGUAUACGGUGUGACGCCUGCCCGGUGCCGGAAGGUUAAUUGAUGGGGUUAGCGGUAACGCGAAGCUCUUGAUCGAAGCCCCGGUAAACGGCGGCCGUAACUAUAACGGUCCUAAGGUAGCGAAAUUCCUUGUCGGGUAAGUUCCGACCUGCACGAAUGGCGUAAUGAUGGCCAGGCUGUCUCCACCCGAGACUCAGUGAAAUUGAACUCGCUGUGAAGAUGCAGUGUACCCGCGGCAAGACGGAAAGACCCCGUGAACCUUUACUAUAGCUUGACACUGAACAUUGAGCCUUGAUGUGUAGGAUAGGUGGGAGGCUUUGAAGUGUGGACGCCAGUCUGCAUGGAGCCGACCUUGAAAUACCACCCUUUAAUGUUUGAUGUUCUAACGUUGACCCGUAAUCCGGGUUGCGGACAGUGUCUGGUGGGUAGUUUGACUGGGGCGGUCUCCUCCUAAAGAGUAACGGAGGAGCACGAAGGUUGGCUAAUCCUGGUCGGACAUCAGGAGGUUAGUGCAAUGGCAUAAGCCAGCUUGACUGCGAGCGUGACGGCGCGAGCAGGUGCGAAAGCAGGUCAUAGUGAUCCGGUGGUUCUGAAUGGAAGGGCCAUCGCUCAACGGAUAAAAGGUACUCCGGGGAUAACAGGCUGAUACCGCCCAAGAGUUCAUAUCGACGGCGGUGUUUGGCACCUCGAUGUCGGCUCAUCACAUCCUGGGGCUGAAGUAGGUCCCAAGGGUAUGGCUGUUCGCCAUUUAAAGUGGUACGCGAGCUGGGUUUAGAACGUCGUGAGACAGUUCGGUCCCUAUCUGCCGUGGGCGCUGGAGAACUGAGGGGGGCUGCUCCUAGUACGAGAGGACCGGAGUGGACGCAUCACUGGUGUUCGGGUUGUCAUGCCAAUGGCACUGCCCGGUAGCUAAAUGCGGAAGAGAUAAGUGCUGAAAGCAUCUAAGCACGAAACUUGCCCCGAGAUGAGUUCUCCCUGACUCCUUGAGAGUCCUGAAGGAACGUUGAAGACGACGACGUUGAUAGGCCGGGUGUGUAAGCGCAGCGAUGCGUUGAGCUAACCGGUACUAAUGAACCGUGAGGCUUAACCUU
RNAcentral lists this ribosomal RNA (2904 nucleotides) under Escherichia coli. Its description in RNAcentral is "bacterial LSU rRNA". It matches the Rfam family "Bacterial large subunit ribosomal RNA". The record is from RNAcentral. Lineage: Bacteria; Pseudomonadati; Pseudomonadota; Gammaproteobacteria; Enterobacterales; Enterobacteriaceae.